Molecule: transfer RNA, 72 nt
Filed under: Okeania sp. SIO2H7
Lineage: Bacteria; Bacillati; Cyanobacteriota; Cyanophyceae; Oscillatoriales; Microcoleaceae
Description: tRNA-Ile
Rfam family: tRNA
About the family: Transfer RNA (tRNA) molecules are approximately 80 nucleotides in length. Their secondary structure includes four short double-helical elements and three loops (D, anti-codon, and T loops). Further hydrogen bonds mediate the characteristic L-shaped molecular structure. tRNAs have two regions of fundamental functional importance: the anti-codon, which is responsible for specific mRNA codon recognition, and the 3' end, to which the tRNAs corresponding amino acid is attached (by aminoacyl-tRNA synthetases). tRNAs cope with the degeneracy of the genetic code in two manners: having more than one tRNA (with a specific anti-codon) for a particular amino acid; and 'wobble' base-pairing, i.e. permitting non-standard base-pairing at the 3rd anti-codon position.
Source: RNAcentral
CGCAGUGUAGCUUAACGGUAAAGCCCCUGGCUCAUAACCAGGUCUAUACGGGUUCGAGUCCCGUCGCUGCCA